This 2174-nucleotide long non-coding RNA is filed under the name Canis lupus familiaris (dog). Its description in RNAcentral is "lncRNA (ENSCAFG00040010083.1)". Lineage: Eukaryota; Metazoa; Chordata; Mammalia; Carnivora; Canidae. The record is from RNAcentral.
UACAUAUUCUCUGAGUUUUUCCCCCAAUGUUGCAGACCUGGGCCACCGAGGACGCCUACAAGGUGAUAAACAGGGAGAGACUUUUUAAAAGAGAUUUAUGAUGGGCUUAGUUUCCCUGUUGUCAAGCUUACCACUUUCAGCCCAACUCAUUUUGGAUUGGUAGGGAUCUGACCAUGGGGUUCUGAUAAAUGUGUGUUUAUCAUUGUGAAUUUAUGCUUGCUUCAGUGUCAAAAAGGAAAAAAAAAACUAUUAAAAAGUGAUACACUUUGAGCAGUGGCUCGAUCCCUGAUUAUGGCCCUUCCUGGCCAUCCCAUUUAAUUUCUGGCUGGCCCAACUAGGGACAUUAAGAGCUGCCCCUUCCGAGGCUGGGUGUUCUGUGCAUUGCACUGUACUCAGAGCAGCUCAGCCCGGCUCCUUCCAUAGGUCGGUGACACCCUCGAGCUUAUAUCACCUCGAGCUGUGUCACCACAAAUCUUAAAAGAUGCAAUUUUCUCGGCAGUUUCAUCCUUCUCAGAUGAAUCAGAGGGUGGGAGUGAAGGCCAGGGCUCUAAUCUCCGUGUUAGGACCAGGAAGGGUGGACACCCCUGUCCUCCCUCACACACCUUCAGGGAGACCACUGCCUGACAGCUCUGAGAGGAGGGUUGCUUCAUUCAGUGGUCCUAGCACAUGCUGGAACCUGUGUGUGUGUGUGUGUGUGUGUGUGUGUGUUUGUAUGUUUUUGUUUUGUUUUAAAACCUUUUAAAAAAAAUUUAUACUGCUGAUCCUUAUAAGCUUCCUUAAAUCCUUGCUAAAAGCAGUCCAAGUAUAUGUAAAUGAACAAAUUAAAUAAUGUAACAACUGAAGGUAAACAGCUUUAUCUGGAGCUAAAUGGAAUUUAAGAGUUGAUCUAAUCCAACUCCCUUAUUUUACCAAUGAGUACAGGGAGACUCAGCAUUGUUUAAAAAAAUUUUUUUUAAUUUUUAAAUUUUAUUUAAAUUCAAAUUAAUUAACAUAUAGUGUAGUGCUGAUUUCAGGAAAAGACUCAGUAUUGUUAAGGAAGGCAAAAAACCAUCCUUAUUUGCCUGGCACUGAGAAAUUUCUAGGGACAUGGGACUUCCAGGGCUAAAAUCAGGACUAGUUAGUCAUCCUGCUGGGUUAAGUGAUUUUCCUUAAGUUACACGGCAGUUAAAUGGCAGGAAUGGCACCAGAGCCCAAGCAUUUGGCCCUGUAAUACAACACUCUUCCCUUAUUAAAUGGCCUUUUAAAAUACAAUUUUAGGAAAGCAAGAGAUAAAAAUGUGCAUCUAGGAAUAAUUUGAGGUCCAUUCCUUAAUUUUUAUGUUUAAUUUUUUUUCUUUCUCUUCUAGGUUUCAAAACUAAACCUUUUGGGUUUUCAUAGGGAGUUGUACUUGACCUUUUCUCCUGUGCACAGUUGUGUCCAUAGCUAGAAAGUUCUAAACUCUCCCUGAAGAUAAACCCCUCAUCCUCACAGCUUCCUUCAGACAGGUGCAGCUGAGGAUGAGCUUCUUCAGAAUGAGAAAAGAAAUUUCCCUUCGUCUCACUACUCCAAGCCUCCCUGUUUCCCAGAGCAGAAGCUGACAGAGAACUUAGACUCACAAUGGAGCUAUACAAAGUCAUGUGAUCUCCUAUGUCUUUUUUCCAAUAUAAUACUGCUCAUUUUGAAGAAAUAAAACUAAAAAUAUCUCCUUCCACUUGUUUUACUUCCUCAGCCCGAUUAAGAGACUGAAAAUUACCUUCAGUGAUACUCUGAGCUAAACAACAGCUUUUACAACUUACUGUGGAAGCAGAUUCUGAAAAAUUUUACAUUCUCAGCUUAUACCUUAUUGGUCCAACAUCCAAUAAUUUAAACCAGUGUUAAGCAAAACUUUGCACAUUUAAAAAUGGAAAUCUAAUUCGUUUUCCUGCCAGUUUGGAGAAGGAAAUGAAAAGAAAAGUGCAAGAUAACUAGGGGAACAGAGACUAUUCUAACUCCUCCUCGGUUACAGGGCUCCUCUGGGUACAGAGCACAGUGAUCCUGUGUCCAAGCUGAUGACCAGAAAUACACAGGAAUCCUUAGCAAUGGCACCUCUGGCCUCUGUAAGGAGGCCGGGCAGUGUCCUGCUCCUACCAUGGCUGGCUGGGUGCCUUGGCUACUUUCCAAAUUUUAUAGCUUUAAUAGAAGGUACAAACAAUAUU